GUCCAUGCUCUCUGUAUAGAAGGUACAAAUAGGUGUUUGUUGAAUGAAUUCUCCAUACAUUAGAAGUGGGAGAGAAUGGAGGUGGAGGGAAUAGGUGAGUCUCCUGCAGUUAUCACGGCGAGUGAGGAUGCUGCCCUGUAUGUAGAAUCAGUCGGGAAGUUGAGACGGGAAGUGCCCUGGUUGGAAGGCAGAUAGCACAGAACCCGGGAACAAAGGAAAUGCAUUUACUAAGAGGAGACAGAUCUUGAGUAAAGGGCAACAUCUCUGAAAGCUCCUUCCCAGUUGAGAGUGGAAAGAACUUGGAAAGACACCCUUAGCUCAGGACAGGAGCAGGCACGGUCUUCA
RNAcentral lists this long non-coding RNA (345 nucleotides) under Bos taurus (domestic cattle). RNAcentral's name for it is "long non-coding RNA NONBTAT013705". The record is from RNAcentral. Lineage: Eukaryota; Metazoa; Chordata; Mammalia; Artiodactyla; Bovidae.